AGUGAACGCUGGCGGUAGGCCUAACACAUGCAAGUCGAACGGCAGCACAGUAAGAGCUUGCUCUUACGGGUGGCGAGUGGCGGACGGGUGAGGAAUACAUCGGAAUCUACUUUUUCGUGGGGGAUAACGUAGGGAAACUUACGCUAAUACCGCAUACGACCUACGGGUGAAAGCAGGGGAUCUUCGGACCUUGCGCGAUUGAAUGAGCCGAUGUCGGAUUAGCUAGUUGGCGGGGUAAAGGCCCACCAAGGCGACGAUCCGUAGCUGGUCUGAGAGGAUGAUCAGCCACACUGGAACUGAGACACGGUCCAGACUCCUACGGGAGGCAGCAGUGGGGAAUGUUGGACAAUGGGCGCAAGCCUGAUCCAGCCAUACCGCGUGGGCGAAGAAGGCCUUCGGGUUGUAAAGCCCUUUUGUUGGGAAAGAAAAGCAGCAGGUUAAUACCCCGCUGUUCUGACGGUACCCAAAGAAUAAGCACCGGCUAACUUCGUG
RNAcentral lists this ribosomal RNA (492 nucleotides) under uncultured bacterium. RNAcentral's name for it is "partial 16S ribosomal RNA". It matches the Rfam family "Bacterial small subunit ribosomal RNA", at positions 29 to 507 of the family's 1533-position model. The record is from RNAcentral.